AAACGUUUUCCUGGGAAGUACAACCGGAUACCCUCUGCUCUCGCGUGACUUUUUAGUUUUCUUGGUAAUGAAAAGAUCUUGAGGCUUUCCUUAGCUCUCCAGAAAUACCCAACUUUUCUCAAAAAUUUCAAUUUUUCAGUUUCUCCACCUUGACAGGGUUAACCCCAGAAAAACAAGUUUCGGUCUCCCUUGGGGAAAUGCUUUUUCAAAAGAAAAAAUAAUUUGGGUCUAAUCAUCCGUGUGUUCAUGAUCUUAUUGAAUUUCGAUUCUUGACGGUAGAUGAUCGUCGUGGUGUAUAAGGUAAAUUGUUGAAACCCUAAUAUCUUCUGAAUUUCGGAUACAAAAACUACAAUUCACAAAAGAGAAACCAAUUGAAUCUCUCUUACAAAUUCAAAAGAAGAAGAGAAAACCCUAAUUUACUGAUGGCUAGAAUAACAAGGAAUGACUUACUCAAGAAUCAAGGUUCUUAUUAGAUUUUGUAAUGAGUUUUUUUCAAAAAUCUUCAUUAUUCAGAGACAACAUGCAUGGAGAAAGUUAAUAAAAAGGAAUCAUAUUUUUCUCCUCUGUUUUUCAAGCUCAAGGUAUUUUGGAUUGUGCACAUGGGUGUAACUUUUAGAUUUUUAAUACAUUUCCAAAAUAUAAUGGAUUUCAUGUUUGUUUAUGUGCAUAAAAAGAGCUUAACUGAUUAAGUAUGUGGCAACCAAAACCAGAAGCUUCGAGAAGUCAAAGUUUAUACAACGUAUAUAGUUUCACAAGGGGUAAACGGGUAUGGCAGUGCAUUAAAAGGUAUCAUAAACAUAAUUGUGAGGUACCGAUAGCUAUGGUAGUGGGUGAUGAGAUGUUGACGGAAGGGUUCAAAGGAUAGUGUUCUGUGUGUGUUUUUGUGAUGGUGCACUGUGAUGAUAGAUUGAGUGCGUAGUUGUGGCAUUUGGGUAGUGAAUAGAAAAUAAAAAAUGUUCUGAAACUUGGCCAUUGGCUUCAACCAGGUUUAAAACUUUGACUUUUAGAGUUUGUAAAAAUGGAUGCUAUGAUUAUACAUAUAACGAGAUCUGCAUGAGAUUUUUUCCAUAUGGAUGUUUUAUUGCAAUGAUUUAACAUUAUGCAACAAAAUCCUAAUUAGGGGUUUCCUCUAUUGAUGUCCUCGAAUGGCUUUAUGCUUUAUUGUUAUGGUUCUUUUUUUUUCCCCGGAUGGUAAUGGCAGUAAAAGCUACUUAGUCCGAUUCGAAUUUGCACCCUUUAUUGUUUUUCGUUUUAGUGUGUACAUGUGCUCGCAACAGGUUGGUGAACAUUUCUUAUUGAAAUCUACUGAUUCAUUUGGAGCUCUUAACUUUAUAGUACUAAGAAUAUGCUUACUGUUAGAAAAUUAGAAGUCAUUUCUAUACUUUAUGCCAUAAUCUGAUAAUCAGGUAAAGCUAUGGAUCUUGAUUGCAGAGACAUUUGAUGGGUCAAUUGAGAAGGUGCAAUCACAAAGCGCAUGAACACUAUAAGUAUUCAACAGUCUAAUUAAUCAACGAGAAAGUGAUGCUAAUCCAGCUACUUAGCUAGAUAAGUGCAACAUAGAGGAAUUCAUUCGAGGUGGCGGGUGCACCAGAGAGACACCAAUGACAACAAUCUGGGUAGACAUGCAUUAAUUUGAUUCAUAUGGUGGUCAUAACAUGAUAGAAUUGUGAAGUUACAACACCUCAACAAAUCUGGUGACCUUAAUGCAAGAGGGUGCACUCUUGGUCAAGCCAUGACUUCCCCCCAGAUCAAGGAAUGAUAGAGAAAGGAUGUACUUGAGGAUGUUACUUGAGAAUUGGUUCAAGGACCAGUCAAAUGGUUGCAUUAGUACGUACUUGCAAGAAGCUUCUUUGUUGAUGAAUUAAAAUUGUAACUGUCGUCCUUGAAAGCGUAUAAAAUGACCGCAGUCCACAACCUUUGUGUUGCCUGAAAGGUUUCUGGGAAAGAUAAAUGUAUCUGCCCAUUAACAUCUUUUAUGAUUAGAGACUACUCCCAAGUUAAUGGAGUUGUCGAAUAACAAAUGUCCCAACAAUUCUCAGAAAAUUAAAAUAAAUCCUUACGUGAUU
Molecule: long non-coding RNA, 2066 nt
Organism: Papaver somniferum (opium poppy)
Lineage: Eukaryota; Viridiplantae; Streptophyta; Magnoliopsida; Ranunculales; Papaveraceae
Exons: 5
Source: RefSeq, a predicted model, not a curated record